GAUGAACGCUGGCGGUAUGCUUAACACAUGCAAGUCGAACGGGGUGCAUAGUCACCUAGUGGCGGACGGGUGAGUAACGCGUGAGAAUCUGGCCUCAGGUCCGGGACAACCACGGGAAACGGUGGCUAAUACCGGAUGUGCCAUAUUGGUGAAAGAUUAAUUGCCUGAGGAUGAGCUCGCGUCUGAUUAGCUAGUUGGUGGGGUAAAGGCUUACCAAGGCGACGAUCAGUAACUGGUCUGAGAGGACGACCAGUCACACUGGGACUGAGACACGGCCCAGACUCCUACGGGAGGGAGCAGUGGGGAAUUUUACGCAAUGGGCGAAAGCCUGACGGAGCAAUACCGCGUGAGGGAGGAAGGCUCUUGGGUUGUAAACCUCUUUUCUCAGGGAAGAAGAAUGACGGUACCUGAGGAAUCAGCAUCGGCUAACUCCGUG
This 436-nucleotide ribosomal RNA is filed under the name uncultured bacterium. Its description in RNAcentral is "partial 16S ribosomal RNA". It matches the Rfam family "Bacterial small subunit ribosomal RNA", at positions 28 to 507 of the family's 1533-position model. The record is from RNAcentral.